AGCCUCUUGCUCCAGGCCCUGCCACCGGGUCUUUACUGCCUGAGAGCCAGCGGACCAUGGACUACACCCACGGACUGAGAGGAACAGUGUUUGAAUUUGUAUCACCAUGUGGGACCCACUGGGAGUGGAGGAAGCUAGAUUCAUUAUGGAAACUGGAUAUACUCUUGCUAAAGAAGAUCAUUUUCACAUAUCUUUGGUGAGGAACAUGAAUAGAGACUAUACAUCAUUCUGCUCCGACAAUUGUUUCAUUGUUGCUUGAGUUCUUGGGAGGUGAAGUUGAGACGGCAUUUUCUGACUGGUUCCACGGACAGGGCUUGGGCGCAGGUCUCCCGGAUCCAACAGGUCACACCGAUUUGUUUAGCUGCUUUGAGGUAUGGUAAUCUCCUGCCUCAAUAUGACUUUUUUAGAAAUCUACUUUUUAAAAGUUUUAAAAAUUCCAAACUAGGACUCCCUCUUAUGAUUGCC
Fukomys damarensis (Damara mole-rat) is the source of this 465-nucleotide long non-coding RNA. RefSeq lists it as uncharacterized. The transcript is spliced from 3 exons. NCBI's taxonomy places the organism in Eukaryota, Metazoa, Chordata, Mammalia, Rodentia, Bathyergidae. The record is from RefSeq and is a predicted model, not a curated record.